CUGGGCAGACCUUUCUCUCUUUCUCUCGUUCUGUGCAGCCCCUCCAUGUGGCUAGCUUGAACUUCCUCAUAGCAUGGCAGCCUAAGGGUAGUCAGACCCUUUGCGUGGCAGCUAGUAUCCCCCACGUGCUAUGAGAAACAGGUGGAAGCUUUGAGGCUCCUCAUGAUCUAGCAUCAUUUGUGCUGCAUUUUAUUGUUUACAUAGGACAGGACAGGCUGGAUUCAUAAGAGAAUUCAAAAGGGCCUGAGAGGUGUGGCUUGUUGUGUGACCCUCACUGCAGACUAGCUACCUCGGCGCCUACCACCUUUUAAAGUGCUAUAAAGAAUGACAUACUAUUGCAUAGAAUUACCUGACUUUUUAUUGCGUUUUGCAAUCUAACACUUCUGAAGUCAUUUUAGACCUUCUUCAUCUCCACGGUUUAGUCAAAUUAUCACAUUUCUACUGUCAUUACUGAGAAAUUUCAUUCCAUAUUGUUCCUCUCCUUUUCAGAAUAGUAAAUUACAUUGCUAGGAGUUUUAAUUGCCCUGUCCACAUAUGUGACUUCCGCAGUGUUAUACAUUCCACCUGUCUCUGAACCGACUGUACAUGGAGACACUUCCUUCCUCUGUACCAGAAAACCCCUGUGGUGAUCAGCUUUAUGUGCCAGCAUGGCUAAGCUGUAGCACUGCCCCCACACACCCCAUUAUUCAAUCAAACACUCAUCUUGGUUUUGCUGUGAAGAUAUCUGCAGAGGACAUUAACACCUACACUCACUUGACUUUAAAAGAGAUUAUCCUCCAUAGUCUGGGUGGGUCCCAUCCUAUCAGUUGAAGGCCUAAGAACAAAACCGAGAUUUCCCUGGGGAAGAAGAAAUUACAUGUGUGGACUGCAGCAUGAGCUGCUGCCUGAGAGUGUCCAGCCUCUGGCUCAUUCUAGAAAUUCCAGACUGGCCUAGCCAGCCCCCAAAAUUGCAUAAAUCAAUUCCUUGCAAUAAAUCUUUCUUUAUGUCUCUCUGUCUCUGUGUGUGUGUGUGUGUGUGUGUGUGUGUGUGUGUGUAUCUUACUGGUUCUAUUUCUCUGAUAGAACUCUAAUGCUAAUAUAUCCUCAUCGAUAGAAUCAAUAGGAUAGAAUGAAUAGAUCAACAGAAUGCAAUCACCUCUUUAAGACAGCAAAGGCAAAUGUAGUUUUUAAGAGUAUGCUGGUAAAAUACUUAUAGAUUCUCUGAAAUGUUAAGUGUUAUCUUUAGGAAAUCUAGACCUCUUCUAAAAGCAUUUAGAUAUUAGAUUGUUAAAGUAUAACCUGUUUGGGGGGCAUUCACAUAUUUUGGAAGAAAACGUGGUGGAUCAUGGCAGGAAAAAUCUAUAGGUGACACAAUAGAAUGCAUACGUUGGAGGUUGGACCUAAAUGGAAAUACCCUAACGUGGAGCUAAGCUGACCUGAGGCACCGAGGUCUGAAUUGUAGGCAGUGACGUGCCAAGGAGUGCCAGGUGGGGUGCUGCUGGAGAACGGGGAAGGGCAGUUCAAAUCUGGGUGGCUUUGCUGGAUCCUGUCUGCUCACAGUCCCUCAUCCGCUGGCACGUUUGGCAUGUUUUCCCACCCAGUUGACUUUGGGCUUGGCAAUGUAACCUGCUUUGAACUACGGAGCAUGACCAAAUACUUCACACUCCAAGGGUGAGCAAAGCCUAGCGUGAUUGCAUUCUGUGACUGCCACUCUCUUGUUCCUACACUCUGCCUGAGAAAAAAAGAAAAAUGAGAUAUGAGAGAUCCAGGACACAAUCCCUCCUCCUCUCUGGAAUGAGACCAGAUAUGUCGUGUCCCCAUGGCCAGGAGUGCAGCUACAAAGAACCACAGCCACAGACUCAGAACAAGCUCCCAUCACAUCAGGUUCACAGCAUGAGCAACAAGCAAACCUUUCUGUUACCAGUUACUAAGAUGUGGGGUUUGUUUCUUAGGCAGCAUUUACACAGCAAAAAAAAAAAAAAAGAAAAGAAAAAA
This is a long non-coding RNA of Macaca fascicularis (crab-eating macaque), 1974 nucleotides long. The record is from Ensembl. NCBI's taxonomy places the organism in Eukaryota, Metazoa, Chordata, Mammalia, Primates, Cercopithecidae.